Acanthosepion pharaonis is the source of this 102-nucleotide non-coding RNA. The record is from the annotation of a GenBank genome assembly. Lineage: Eukaryota; Metazoa; Mollusca; Cephalopoda; Sepiida; Sepiidae.
AUACGGCCACAUCACGUUGAAAUGCCGGUUCUCAUACGACCACCGAAGUUAAGCAACGUCGAGCUUGGUUAUCACCUAGAUUGGUGACCGCUUGGGAAUACU